GAUACUUCACUUCAAAAAAUGUUUAUUGCCUUAAAGAUAUAUUACGGUCUUAGACAAAUUAUACAUUCUGUACUUCUGUUUCAAAACAACAAAUAAGCUAUCGUCUAUUACAUAUCUUUGGUCAUAAUAAGCAGAAUAUGGGCUGGUCUUUCAAUUUGAAUUACAUUAUGUCACAUGAGUAUCAUUCCCAACAGAAUUGGUUUUAGAAAGCUGCUCAAAGCAGAACCCAGAAAGUUCCUGACUUAAUUGGAAAACCUAGGAAUGCACCUGAUAUUUACUUCUGGGACACAAAUUGUAUACAUAACCACACACUUAAAAACUUAUUCAUCUGUUUCACUUAUUACUCAGUUCAUUCAGAAUAUUCUUUUUUUUGACAAUCACUGUAAUUCAUUACAUACUAAAAAUAACACCAUAUUUAUGCACAAAUAAAUUAAUUUUCCCAGUAAGAGCUAAUCUUCCUUUAAGAAGAUUCCCCACAUAUUCACAGUACAUAAUAUCACAGAACACCCAUAUCUGGCCUAAAUGUCUCUG
Molecule: long non-coding RNA, 531 nt
Filed under: Bos taurus (domestic cattle)
Lineage: Eukaryota; Metazoa; Chordata; Mammalia; Artiodactyla; Bovidae
Description: long non-coding RNA NONBTAT012200
Source: RNAcentral